Molecule: long non-coding RNA, 313 nt
Organism: Hemicordylus capensis (graceful crag lizard)
Lineage: Eukaryota; Metazoa; Chordata; Lepidosauria; Squamata; Cordylidae
Exons: 3
Source: RefSeq, a predicted model, not a curated record
UUCAGGGAGCAAACUGUCACGAGCUGAGCCAUGGACAGUGGUCACGAGGGAGCACAAGUCUUAAGCCAAGACUGGGAGAACCAGGAACAUGCUAAAGGUUCGUUACUCUCCUUCACUGAACAGCACUAUAGAAGACCUCAGAAAAAGAGUAGUAAAUGCAGACUAAGGAGUAAAGAGUCAAUACAAGCUAUAUGGAGGUCCAGAAAAACAGGAAUAUCAAGAAGAAGAAAAUAGAAACCUCCCUUUCUCCCCUAGAGGGAUUUUGCCCAAUUGUUCCAGUGGAGAACUCUUUGAGAUAAAUUGUGAAAAUAUU